GACGAACGCUGGCGGCGUGCUUAACACAUGCAAGUCGAACGAAGAGCGAUGGAAGCUUGCUUCUAUCAAUCUUAGUGGCGAACGGGUGAGUAACGCGUAAUCAACCUGCCCUUCAGAGGGGGACAACAGUUGGAAACGACUGCUAAUACCGCAUACGAUCUAAUCUCGGCAUCGAGGAUAGAUGAAAGGUGGCCUCUACAUGUAAGCUAUCACUGAAGGAGGGGAUUGCGUCUGAUUAGCUAGUUGGAGGGGUAACGGCCCACCAAGGCGAUGAUCAGUAGCCGGUCUGAGAGGAUGAACGGCCACAUUGGGACUGAGACACGGCCCAGACUCCUACGGGAGGCAGCAGUGGGGAAUCUUCCGCAAUGAACGAAAGUCUGACGGAGCAACGCCGCGUGAGUGAUGACGGCCUUCGGGUUGUAAAGCUCUGUUAAUCGGGACGAAAGGCCUUCUUGCGAAUAGUGAGAAGGAUUGACGGUACCGGAAUAGAAAGCCACGGCUAACUACGUG
This 510-nucleotide ribosomal RNA is filed under the name uncultured bacterium. RNAcentral describes it as "partial 16S ribosomal RNA". It matches the Rfam family "Bacterial small subunit ribosomal RNA", at positions 28 to 507 of the family's 1533-position model. The record is from RNAcentral.